This 261-nucleotide ribosomal RNA is filed under the name uncultured bacterium. Its description in RNAcentral is "partial 16S ribosomal RNA". It matches the Rfam family "Bacterial small subunit ribosomal RNA", at positions 95 to 354 of the family's 1533-position model. The record is from RNAcentral.
CCGGCGCACGGGUGAGUAACACGUAUGCAACCUGCCUGCCACAGCCGGAUAAUCGGGAGAAAUUCCGUCUAAUACGGCAUAAUGCAUCGACGGGACAUCCUGUUGGUGCCAAAGGUUAAUUCCGGUGGCGGAUGGGCGUGCGUCGCAUUAGUUAGUUGGCGGUGUAACGGACCACCAAGACGACGAUGCGUAGGGGUUCUGAGAGGAAGGUCCCCCACACUGGUACUGAGACACGGACCAGACUCCUACGGAAGGCAGCAG